This 3963-nucleotide long non-coding RNA is filed under the name Mus musculus (house mouse). RNAcentral describes it as "long non-coding RNA chr18:5652113-5656076". The record is from RNAcentral. Lineage: Eukaryota; Metazoa; Chordata; Mammalia; Rodentia; Muridae.
AUGUAGGAAUUGUUAUUAAAUUAAUUUUGGUUUUUCAAAAUAAUUACUGUAAAACUUUGACUUUUUUGUUUUUGAGAUUAUAGCUUAAUUACAACUUUUCUCCCUUACUUUUCUCCCUCUAAACUUUUCCAAUACCCCUCCCUGCCUACCUGCUCUCCUUCAAAUUCAUGGCCUCUAUUUUUAAUUAAUUAUGGUUAUAUGCAUUAAUAUCUAUGUAUAUUCCUAAAUAUAACAUGUUCACUUUGUAUGGUGUUACUUGUAUAUAUAUUUUUAAGGCCAACCAUAUACUUUCCAAUAUAUCUAAUUUGGUUUUGAUUUAAACAGAUUGAUAAUUAUAAUGAAAUAAUAAAACUAGCAUGUUUUUACAAAUGUUAAAUUUUCUGGUAUCUAUUAAAAUAGAUGCUGAUAAUAGGAAAAGUGCUGAAAAAUUCAUACAACUUUUAAGAAAUAAAACUAUGUAUUUGCUAUAAACAGACUAGUUACAUACACUAAAUUUCUAGUAAGAUAUUAAAGAUUAAGUGUAUUAUCCUUUUGGAUAUCUAAAUUUUUUAAAUCAGAUUUAUAAAAGAAGGAGCAGAUUAAUUUUAUGAUUAUAGUUAGCCUUGAAAAUUAUAUUUAUGUGAGUGGCACAUGGAUAUACAGAUGUAGAGGUCACAGGGUAACCUUGGUGACAUUUUCAGGAUGCUGCCCACCUGGAUUUUUGAGGCAGGAUAUCUUACUGGAAUGUGAGGCUUGCUAACUGGACUAGAUUGUCUGUCCAAUGAGCCUCGGGGGCUCUGCCUGCCUCUGUCUUCCCAGUGCUGGGAUUGCCAGGUAUCAAGCUCAAGUCCGGUUGUCUGCAUGACCAGCUUUUACCAAAUGUGCCACCUCCCCUGUUCUGAAGGUUGUUUUAGUGUAACCCCUGCUUCUGUGGUGCCAUGUGUUCUUCUCCCAUAACCUAUCAGCCAUCGACUCUUCUUAUGAUUGCAUUGUUCCAGUGAUUCUCUUAUCUCAAAAAUAAUAAAUUUAUCUCAGCCCUAACCAAGAACCUAUCUGCAGUUGAUUCACGGCCUAAGGAAAAAUCGAUUUUCUCCAAUGGAAUGUCACUAGUGUUUUAACCACACUCUGGGGCAGACCUGAUGCUCAGGAAUCAUUGGCCAACACGAAACAGACUUAAUAAUAUUUUUGUGGAGAUGUUUUGUUUUGUUUGUCUUACUGGUCCUAGACUGUUUUGAUUUUCGUUUUAUGGAUUUUUUUUUAUUUUUUAUUCUAUUGAAAAAGAGAGGGCAGAAAGUUGGGUAUAUCUGGGGAGGAGAAACAUGAUCAAAAUAUACUGUAUGAAAAACUUUAAUAAAGAGAAAGUGAGAAGAAAUUAUUGCAGCUGAGAAUAACACUCCUUUCUUGUGCUAGGCCCUCUCUGGUGGCUUCCACAAUUUAGCAACUCAAAGUCAAAUAAUGCUUCUUAAUUUGUUAAUAAUGUAGGCUUCUGGUUCUCUGCUUUCUAUAUUUUUACAGCACUUGUGGCAAAUAGUUAUAGAAAAAGUAAACAGUAUACUGGCCUUGUACUCUUACCUGUCUAAACAGCCUGUGUGGUGCUUGGGUUACAAGCACGGCACUUAUCUACCAGCUUCUUGUCCUCCCCACACUUACAGAACAGUGGUAGGCAGCCAUACUGCAGUGCCGUGGGCUCUCACACAGGCCAUCCCCCAUUCCUACUGUGUGUCUGAGUACUCUGGUGUUGUUGGGAAAUGCUGUUCUAAGCUGUGGGCCCUGCCUUUUAUCUUGUUCAGACUCCAUUCCUCCUUUUGUUUGACCUGAAGGUAGAAACAGCAAUUGUAUUUGAGGUGUCCGCUAGUGAGCCACAUGGUGGCUAAGAUUGGGAAGGCAGAUAGAUGACCUCAACCUUCCUGACGCUGCAACCUUUUAAUACAGUUCCUCAUGGUGUACUGACCCUAACCAUACAAUUAUUUUCAUUGCUACUUUAUAACUGUAAUUUUACUACUGUUAUGAUUUGUAAUGUAAAUGUCUGUGCUUUCCAGUGGUCUUAGGAGACCCCUGUUAAACAGUCAUCCAACCCCCAAAGGGGUCAUGACCCACAGGUUGAGAACCACUGCCUUGGAGGAGAUGAAUGUUUGACAGGGGAGGUAAUCUAAUGAAGUCAAGGUCACAAGAGACAGAGAAGAGGCCUGCUUCAUGGGUCUGUGAUCUGUAUAGACAUCCCAUUCUGUGAUGGGCUCUGGAUAAUUCUUCGUUUUCAAGGGAAAGCUCUGCUGUUAUAGGGCCUGGAGUCCUACAAACUGUAACUGAUCCUGCAAUAGAAAGUAUAAUAGAAUAGGAAGCAGAAAUUUCUUCUUUUUGAUUCUUCAUUACUUUUCAUAAUAUUACCAGACUGUGAAUGAUAAUUCAAAGACAUUAAAAAUUUGCAGGAAAAAUUGGCCUAAUUUCAGUGCAAUUUUAUGGGUAUAUAGAUCAUCUGUAAUUGAAGAAGAUUGAUAAAUUUUUUACAUGAUAUUAAAAAUAAUCACAUUGAUAAUUCAUAUAGAGACUUUUUGAAGUCAGAUAUGUACAUAUAAUUUGAGAAGCAAAAAUGAUCAGAGGCGUAGACUUGUGCUUCUCAAUGCUUUUAUUAUUUGAUAGUCAUUUCCUCUGACGAUUACUCCUAUAGUAGCCAUUGUCUCAGGAAUUUAUCAUAGUACUAGUAAAAUUUAUUUCUAUAAAAACUUAGCACAUGAUGUAUUGAAACUCAGAAUCUCAACACUGUGAUUUUUAAUGAAGCGUGUUAGUUUCAUAUUUUGAUAGCUUUAUAGUGCUUCCAUGUUUAAAAUGGACGGUAAUGUCUAUAUCAUACCUAGACUUGAUUUUCUGUAUAUCUUCCUUGCUAACACUUUCCUAGCUUCACUGAUUAUAGAACAAACAGAAACACACCUUUGCUGACAUUCUUUAAUGUGUGUUUCCUUUUAUUCUAAUAAACUGUAGUGCAGGGUGAUGUAGGGAGUUACCUGAAUCCACUGAAGUGAGUCAAGUCAGAUUAUUUUCUGACAAUCUAACUCUGCUGUAUGAGUGCCAGAAUUGGUUGUGUUGGUUGAGGCCCUCUUCCCUUUAGGGAGUAGAAAUGGGCCAGGAGGAUUGUUGGCCAUAAUGCUUCUCUGCAGAUGUAGUAAAAGCAUGUGGCUACUUUAACCAGAAUCUUCUGUGUGCCCAUCUGUACAUGUCAUAAAGAGCUGAUGUAGGAGAGUCGUCAUUUUUAUUAUUACUUUUCUUGUGAAAUUGAGCUUUAAAAUAGAAUAAAUGUCUAUAUUUAAGACUCUGUGUGUGAGGGGGUGGGAUUUGGAGGACUUAGUGGCUCAGUUUUAGAUUUCUCUAUGGCUUUGGUCCAAAAGGCAACAGCCUUUUAGAAAAACCUGUUCACAACUUGCACAGACUUCCAGAGACAUACCAGGAACCAUCAGGCUAAAGGUGUAAGAAGAACUGUUGAUAUCACCCUGUGGACAGAACUGAAAGUCCUUAUCCCAGACAUGUGACCUAGAGAGGAGCCCUGGCCUACUGAGUGGACUUCUGUGCAGCUCUUCCUCCAUUGUAAAGACAUGUUCAUGAGGCAAACAGUCUAAACUGGAGAAGCAGCUUUAGUUCAUUGAGUUUUAUUUAAAACUAUAAAAGUGUAUAUUUAGAUCAUGUAGAAAAUUAAACUGCAUUAGAUUCUGUAUAACAUUGUAUAAGGCACUGAUUGUACGAGUGAAGUUAAAUAUAACAUAUCAGCAGACACUUAAUACAUCACCCACAUAGACAGUAGUAUCAGCUUAACAAGGAACUUGGACCAAAGGAGAGACUAAGGGGCAGAUGCAUGUGCACCGCUAGGUGCAAAGCCUUCAUUAUUGCCUUUGGACUAGUUGAACAAAAUCGCAUCUUCUUUUCCCUUUAGCCCAGGGAAACUUUCUGCAGGAGAUAGAAAUGAAGUUGAUGGCAGACACUGCUUUUGACACGUUU